RNAcentral lists this small RNA (205 nucleotides) under Oryza sativa Japonica Group (Japanese rice). RNAcentral describes it as "Os03g0177900". Lineage: Eukaryota; Viridiplantae; Streptophyta; Magnoliopsida; Poales; Poaceae. The record is from RNAcentral.
UUAAUACUCGUUUAUUUCUGUUCGGUUAAAACUGAUGCUCUGAGUCCGAUUAUUGUCCAUCGGCUGUUUUGGAAUGCGAGUAUUUACAUUGCUACUUCCUGUGUCGUUAUUUUCGUUUGUGCUAUUCCCUGCUUUUGCUGCUAUUGAUAACUGGAAACUGUCUCUGUCAUUGAAUCUCAGACAAGUUUUCUGCUAUUGGAAACUG